RNAcentral lists this ribosomal RNA (55 nucleotides) under Plectosphaerella cucumerina. RNAcentral's name for it is "partial 18S ribosomal RNA". It matches the Rfam family "Eukaryotic small subunit ribosomal RNA", at positions 1778 to 1831 of the family's 1831-position model. The record is from RNAcentral. RNAcentral also lists the same sequence under 12 other names. Lineage: Eukaryota; Fungi; Ascomycota; Sordariomycetes; Glomerellales; Plectosphaerellaceae.
GGAAGUAAAAAGUCGUAACAAGGUCUCCGUUGGUGAACCAGCGGAGGGAUCAUUA